This 777-nucleotide unclassified non-coding RNA is filed under the name Hevea brasiliensis (rubber tree). The record is from RNAcentral. Lineage: Eukaryota; Viridiplantae; Streptophyta; Magnoliopsida; Malpighiales; Euphorbiaceae.
UGAGUUGAGUUGAGUUGAGUAUAGAUAUAUGCUGUAGUUAUUUCAUAAUGGUAGCUUAAAUAAUUUGUGCCUGUUUGCAAUAUUCUUACAAUUGAUUGCUUCACAUUUUAUUUAUUCAUCAAGUUAUUUCCUAUACUUGAAGACACCAACUAGUUUGGGACUAAGGCAUAGUUGGGCUCAGUUCCUAUGUGUGAAGAUUGAAGACAGUAAUCAUGUUGCUGAAUUACUGUUCACUAUUUUUUUCCCCUGCUAGUCACUAUGAUAAUGAAAUGCCAUGCAACAUUUAGUUAUAUGAUUUAUACUAGUUACAUGAUGCAUUCUGGAUGGAGGACUUAUCUAGUGUUCCCUUAUUUGCUUAUAUAUACAUUUGUCACCAGAUCUGUCCUGCAUUUUGUGUCUUUUAUGGGUAUCCUCCAAGAUUUGAGAAAAGAAUAAGAUUUUUUUUGGACAUUAAUCCUUUUGUUUUUCAUCAGUCAAGGAUUUGAAGUAGGUUGUCAGUAAGUUACUGGAAUUUAUUUUGUAAAUGCUUAAUUGCAAUAUUAUUUUUGAGUUUUCUAUUGAUUGCUUUGGAAUAAUGGAUUACUAUAACAUACACUGCUAUUUGAUUGGUAAUUCAUCUCUAUCCUGAUAGCUGAACUUCACAUCGAAAUUGCCAAUUAUACUUCCUCGAUGCCUUGUCUUUUCAUGAACUUUUAUUUCCCCUUACCUUUGUGCUGCUUUCUUAUUUUUAACAGUUGUCAGGAAGAAAAUUUCACUUUUUUUUUCUUUUGACUUCAG